Long non-coding RNA from Salarias fasciatus (jewelled blenny), 144 nucleotides. RefSeq lists it as uncharacterized. The transcript has 3 exons. NCBI's taxonomy places the organism in Eukaryota, Metazoa, Chordata, Actinopteri, Blenniiformes, Blenniidae. The record is from RefSeq and is a predicted model, not a curated record.
GGGGUGCGUGCAUCUGCUCGAGGGCCCGAGGUAAUGCGUCCGUGCGUGCAAUGGAAUCCUCUCGCGGGCCGGAUUGGACGGUUCGGCGGGCCACAUUUGGCCCGCGGGCCGCUAAUUGCCGACCCCUAGGUUAGUGGAGUCAGC